This 334-nucleotide ribosomal RNA is filed under the name uncultured eukaryote. RNAcentral describes it as "partial 18S ribosomal RNA". It matches the Rfam family "Eukaryotic small subunit ribosomal RNA", at positions 1470 to 1796 of the family's 1831-position model. The record is from RNAcentral.
CCCUUAGAUGUCCGGGGCCGCACGCGCGCUACAAUGAAGGAAUCAGCGUGGCUUUCUCCCUGACCCGAAAGGGUUGGGAAACCCGUUGAAUCUCCUUCGUGAUAGGGAUUGGGGCUUGAAAUUGUUCCCCAUGAACGAGGAAUUCCCAGUAAGCGCGAGUCAUAAGCUCGCGUUGAUUACGUCCCUGCCCUUUGUACACACCGCCCGUCGCUACUACCGAUUGAACGGUUUAGUGAGGGCCUCGGAUUGGUCUCGGCCCGCUCUUUACCGGGCGGCGCCGUUGGUCGAGAAGACGCUCGAACUUGAUCGUUUAGAGGAAGUAAAAGUCGUAACA